GCACUUGGGGGUAUUCAUGACACCGGAUCGAUUUGACCACCGAUCGAAGGUGUACUUAUCCGGAUGGGUCGUCCUGUAGGGCGGAUGGAUCAGGUCGGUGCAGUUAGUGACAGGCAGCGCUUGAGGUCUGCGGACCAAUAUAGCAGGCACAGAUUCAGUACAGUUUCUGGUUGAUUACUUUGAGGCAUAUUUGCAUUAUUUUCUAUACAGUAGC
This 214-nucleotide long non-coding RNA is filed under the name Ananas comosus (pineapple). RNAcentral describes it as "long non-coding RNA (ACOM_LNC024462)". The record is from RNAcentral. Lineage: Eukaryota; Viridiplantae; Streptophyta; Magnoliopsida; Poales; Bromeliaceae.